RNAcentral lists this transfer RNA (73 nucleotides) under Stenocercus torquatus. RNAcentral describes it as "tRNA-Tyr". Lineage: Eukaryota; Metazoa; Chordata; Lepidosauria; Squamata; Tropiduridae. The record is from RNAcentral.
CUGGUAAAAGGAAGACUCGAACUCCCGUUGGUGAAUUUACAGCUCACCGCCUAAACUCUCGGCCACCUUACCC